Molecule: ribosomal RNA, 546 nt
Filed under: uncultured bacterium
Lineage: Bacteria
Description: bacterial SSU rRNA
Rfam family: Bacterial small subunit ribosomal RNA
Source: RNAcentral
GCAGUCGAACGAGAACGGGUUUAAGUUUACUAAACUGUCAGCUAAGUGGCGCACGGGUGAGUAAUAUAUAGUUAAUCUGCCCCAAAGAAGAGAAUAAUUGUUGGAAACGACUUGUAAUGCUCUAUAUGCCUUUAUYACAUAAGURAGCAAGGGAAAUAUUUAUAGCUUUGGGAUGAGACUGUACGGUAUCAGCYWGUUGGUGAGGUAAUGGCUCACCAAGGCWAUGACAYCUAACUGGUUUGAGAGGAUGAUCAGUCACACUGGAACUGAGACACGGUCCAGACUCCUACGGGAGGCAGCAGUGGGGAAUAUUGCACAAUGGAGGAAACUCUGAUGCAGCAACGCCGCGUGGAGGAUGACACAUUUCGGUGCGUAAACUCCUUUUAUAUGAGAAGAUAAUGACGGUAUCAUAUGAAUAAGCACCGGCUAACUUCGUGCCAGCAGCCGCGGUAAUACGAGGGGUGCAAGCGUUACUCGGAAUCACUGGGCGUAAAGAGCAUGUAGGCGGGUAGUUAAGUUGGAAGUGAAAUCCUAUGGCUCAACCAU